Molecule: transfer RNA, 85 nt
Filed under: Gordonia sp. UCD-TK1
Lineage: Bacteria; Bacillati; Actinomycetota; Actinomycetes; Mycobacteriales; Gordoniaceae
Description: tRNA-Thr
Source: RNAcentral
GCCCCGGAAUGUGACGGACGUUUGAGGUCAGACUGACGGACUUGUAAUCCGCAGGUCCCAGGUUCGAGCCCUGGUGGGGGCACCA